AAACUCUAUAAUGAUCCUUCCGUAGGUGAACCUGCGGAGGGAUCAUUA
This 48-nucleotide ribosomal RNA is filed under the name Pestalotiopsis microspora. Its description in RNAcentral is "partial 18S ribosomal RNA". The record is from RNAcentral. Lineage: Eukaryota; Fungi; Ascomycota; Sordariomycetes; Amphisphaeriales; Sporocadaceae.